CGAUGAGGUAGAGGUCGCGGUUUUUAAUAGUAGCGUAAGGGAGAUGCAGAGGCAUCUACGAACUUACUUGAAAGGAAAAAUCGCCGAAGUUUGCUCAUUACUCUGUUUGAGCAUGCUGGGGCUGUAUCCGAACAGGAACAGAACUGUCACGUCUGCCUUAACCUGGCAAACGUGUUGUGCUAUCUUCAUG
This 190-nucleotide non-coding RNA is filed under the name Bacillus sp. (in: firmicutes). RNAcentral's name for it is "Bacillus sp. Lysine sequence". It matches the Rfam family "Lysine riboswitch aptamer". From Rfam's summary of the family: Riboswitches are metabolite binding domains within certain messenger RNAs that serve as precision sensors for their corresponding targets. Allosteric rearrangement of mRNA structure is mediated by ligand binding, and this results in modulation of gene expression. Lineage: Bacteria; Bacillati; Bacillota; Bacilli; Caryophanales; Bacillaceae. RNAcentral also lists the same sequence under 1 other name. The record is from RNAcentral.